Non-coding RNA from Oryza glumipatula, 208 nucleotides. NCBI's taxonomy places the organism in Eukaryota, Viridiplantae, Streptophyta, Magnoliopsida, Poales, Poaceae. The record is from Rfam.
AAAAAGACAAACCCUGAGUUUCCGCGUCUAACGUUUGACUGUCCGUCUUAUAUGAAAUUUUUUUAUAAUUAGUAUUUUCAUUGUUGUUAGAUUAUAAAACAUGAUUAAUAAUUUAUGCGUGACUUGUAUUUUUAAUUUUUUUUCAUAUUUUUUUUAAAUAAGACGGACGGUUAAACGUUGGACACGGAAACCCAGGGUUUGUCUUUUU